This 409-nucleotide ribosomal RNA is filed under the name Sphingomonas melonis. RNAcentral's name for it is "bacterial SSU rRNA". It matches the Rfam family "Bacterial small subunit ribosomal RNA", at positions 257 to 683 of the family's 1533-position model. Lineage: Bacteria; Pseudomonadati; Pseudomonadota; Alphaproteobacteria; Sphingomonadales; Sphingomonadaceae. The record is from RNAcentral.
GUAAAGGCGCACCAAGGCGACGAUCCUUAGCUGGUCUGAGAGGAUGAUCAGCCACACUGGGACUGAGACACGGCCCAGACUCCUACGGGAGGCAGCAGUGGGGAAUAUUGGACAAUGGGCGAAAGCCUGAUCCAGCAAUGCCGCGUGAGUGAUGAAGGCCUUAGGGUUGUAAAGCUCUUUUACCCGGGAUGAUAAUGACAGUACCGGGAGAAUAAGCUCCGGCUAACUCCGUGCCAGCAGCCGCGGUAAUACGGAGGGAGCUAGCGUUGUUCGGAAUUACUGGGCGUAAAGCGCACGUAGGCGGCUUUGUAAGUUAGAGGUGAAAGCCUGGAGCUCAACUCCAGAAUUGCCUUUAAGACUGCAUCGCUCGAAUCCAGGAGAGGUGAGUGGAAUUCCGAGUGUAGAGGUG